This 465-nucleotide ribosomal RNA is filed under the name Vreelandella stevensii. Its description in RNAcentral is "partial 16S ribosomal RNA". It matches the Rfam family "Bacterial small subunit ribosomal RNA", at positions 338 to 795 of the family's 1533-position model. Lineage: Bacteria; Pseudomonadati; Pseudomonadota; Gammaproteobacteria; Oceanospirillales; Halomonadaceae. The record is from RNAcentral.
CCUACGGGAGGCAGCAGUGGGGAAUAUUGGACAAUGGGGGGAACCCUGAUCCAGCCAUGCCGCGUGUGUGAAGAAGGCCCUCGGGUUGUAAAGCACUUUCAGUGAGGAAGAACGCCUGGUGGUUAAUACCCAUCAGGAAAGACAUCACUCACAGAAGAAGCACCGGCUAACUCCGUGCCAGCAGCCGCGGUAAUACGGAGGGUGCGAGCGUUAAUCGGAAUUACUGGGCGUAAAGCGCGCGUAGGUGGCUUGAUAAGCCGGUUGUGAAAGCCCCGGGCUCAACCUGGGAACGGCAUCCGGAACUGUCGAGCUAGAGUGCAGGAGAGGAAGGUAGAAUUCCCGGUGUAGCGGUGAAAUGCGUAGAGAUCGGGAGGAAUACCGGUGGCGAAGGCGGCCUUCUGGACUGACACUGACACUGAGGUGCGAAAGCGUGGGUAGCAAACAGGAUUAGAUACCCUAGUAGUC